This 406-nucleotide ribosomal RNA is filed under the name uncultured bacterium. RNAcentral describes it as "partial 16S ribosomal RNA". It matches the Rfam family "Bacterial small subunit ribosomal RNA", at positions 29 to 526 of the family's 1533-position model. The record is from RNAcentral.
AUUGAACGCUGGCGGCAGGCCUAACACAUGCAAGUCGAACGAGUGGCGGACGGGUGAGAAAUGUGUGGGAGACUGACCGAGGGGGGGGGAUAACUACUGGAGACAGUAGCGAAAAUCGCGCACCACAGGAUGUGUGCAGAGGGGAUUAGCUUGUAGGUGAGGUAAAGGCUCACCUAGGCGACGAUCCCUAGCGGGUCUGUGAGGAUGACCAGCAACACUGGAACUGAGACACGGUCCAGACUCCUACGGGAGGCAGCAGUGGGGAAUAUUGCACAAUGGGCGCAAGCCUGAUGCAGCCAUGCCGCGUGUAUGAAGAAGGCCUUCGGGUUGUAAAGUACUUUCAGCGAGGAGGCGUUACCCGCAGAAGAAGCACCGGCUAACUCCGUGCCAGCAGCCGUGGUAAUUC